Jaculus jaculus (lesser Egyptian jerboa) is the source of this 2467-nucleotide long non-coding RNA. RefSeq lists it as uncharacterized. Lineage: Eukaryota; Metazoa; Chordata; Mammalia; Rodentia; Dipodidae. The record is from RefSeq and is a predicted model, not a curated record. The transcript is spliced from 3 exons.
CAGCAGCCUCUCCCAUGUCCCUUCUCCUGCCCAGGGCAGUGGAGAAACCUGGGAUUGGAGACACCUGAGAGCCACGGGGACGUGGAGAGGAACAGGGACAGAGGGCCCAGCCCGGCCCUUUCUCCCUUCCAGCCAGGACUGAGCAGCUUAUCUGCAGGAGGCAGGGCGUGGGAUCAUGGGCCAGGGCUGGCACGAGCGAGGCACUCUGCAAACAGCGCGGGAUAAGGAAAAGUCUGAAUCUGAGUUCUCUACACAGCACAGAGGCCUGAAGACGCACGCCUGGUUCUUCCACAUGCCCUGGGCUCCUCGACCAGAUUUUUAGGAGCUGUGAAGCCAGAGAUGACCAUGAGGCUGUGGGAAACAGAACUUGGCCCUACAUUCCCAUUAGACUUCACUUCCCAGAGGAGAUGUAACCAGGCAGACAGUGCCUGCCGAUGCCACCCCCUCAACCCAACCAAGCUGGAGGGAAGGAAGGAAGGAGGAGGGUGAUUGUGCCUCAACCAAUGCAAAAAGACCCUGGAGUCCCACCCCCUCUAUCCAUGCUGGCCUCAGGACCCUGGGACCCCUUCAGAGGUCCUCCUGACCUUCCCAAGCCUGCCACCAGCCAGCUCUGAACAGUGUGAUACUCAAAGGCUCACCUCUCCUAAAACUUACCCUGUUCUCCCAUCUUCCUCUUGAACUGUCAGGAUGAAGGUAGCCCUUGAGUUCUCCCAUCCUAGCUGUCUCUAGUCUCUAGCUCAAUUCCCUCUAGCUGCAGCACUAGUUCACAUCUCCAGCCCUGCACCCCCCUCCCCGAGGGGGAUCCCAGAGGAAAACCAGCAGUGGGCCAUCUCUGGCCCUCUUCCCUUUGUCCUGGUCUGGUGCACUGUGCUGACCACCAGCCCGAUACAUCAUUCCAACCCAAUCUCUGAUCCACCCUGAAACCCUGGCCUGCCACAGCCACCCGAGAGCUAAGGAGGCUGCCAGGUCCAGGGAGAGGGUGAGUUGUGCCUGUGUUAAACACAGACACAGGACAGAGAGCCAAGCUUCAACUCCCAGCGGGGCCAUUCCUUUCCCAAAUAAUUCCAUAGUCAUCUCCUCCCUGGAUGGUCCCCAGGGAGUGAACCUGCUGGGCUCUCGAGACCCUGAGGAGGACACACCGUUGCCCUCCUGCCUGGAGCCCCACUUACUGCGCAGAAGCGCCCUGUGUUUGUCAGUCUCCUCCUUAGGGGCUUCUUGGUUAUUGCGAGCCUUGCUCUUGUUCCUCCGUCCCUGUCUCCGCUAAGGCUCUGCUGUCUCUGGGUCCUCAGCCCAGAGCCCGCCCCUCAGCCCCGGACGCUGCUCCUGCCCCACCAGGGGAGAGGUCAGUAGGACGGAGGUUUGGCCUCUGCCACUUGAGCCAAGUCCUGACACGCUGCUCAAAAUAGCAUCCCUGCUCCUGCCAGUAGCAGGAUGGAGACUGAGUUCUGGGGCAGCCCUUGUGAGGCCAGAGGUGGAGAGCCAGGUACGUGUGUGCUGGCUUCACGGUCCCAGAGGAAAGGCCAGGCCUGAAGACAAACAGCUGGCUUAUCCCUGGGGCCAGAGCCAGGGGUAGCCUGAGCCUCCAGAACUGUGCAGAAUGGGAACUGGAGGUGGACAUUUCUAGAAAUCAACAGCCAGCUGGAAGGGUGGGAGAGACAACCCUGAAUCAGUUCUUAGGGAACCCGCAAUCUGAAGGGUGUGAGGAAUCAGGCACUGUCCUCAGAUGUCCCCAGUCUGAGAGGAGAGGGAACACCCAGGCCUGCUGGUCUUCUGGGGACCCAUCUAGAAGCUGCUUCCCUUAGGGAAAGCGAGCAAAGCUUCCUCGAGAGACCCCAAGCUGGCCAGAGGGCUAUGAGAGACCAGUAAUGGAGCUACCCUCAGGAGCUGUAAGGCAGACUGCUAGGAUGCCAGCCAGUGGAGCGGUGGGCAGUGGGCAACCAGUCCAGGGAGCUCUGGAGACUGGUAGCCUCUGUGGGGGCGAUGAUACAGGGUGCGGUUGCCCAAUACUGAAUGAAACUGUCCUCUAGAGACUGUAUGUGGUACAUGUUUUUCCUGCACUGGGAAGCUAAGAUAGGAAGAUCACUGUUGGUUUGAAGCCAGUCUGGGGCUACAGACUGAAUUCCAGAUCAGCCUGGGCUAUAAUAGGGUACCACUUCCAGCUCUCCUGCCCCCCCCCAACCUCCCCUACUCACACAAAAGAGUAAGAAUGAGAAAAAGAAACUAUCCUCUAGAGGGAGCCAAAGACCAGGCUGUUCUCUCCAGACACACCCAGUCCUGCUCUUGUAGCCAAGGGCAGAGAGCCCUCAGAGUUAGGCUGCAGCAGCCUUCCUGGUCAAGAGUUUUUCUUGCUGGGCGUGGUGGCGCACGCCUUUAAUCCCAGCACUCGGGAGGCAGAGUUAGGAGGGCUGCCGUGAGUUCGAGGCCACUCUGAGACUACAUAGUUAAUUCCAGGUCAGCCUGAGCCAGA